RNAcentral lists this ribosomal RNA (502 nucleotides) under Staphylococcus aureus. Its description in RNAcentral is "partial 23S ribosomal RNA". It matches the Rfam family "Bacterial large subunit ribosomal RNA", at positions 1603 to 2106 of the family's 2925-position model. The record is from RNAcentral. Lineage: Bacteria; Bacillati; Bacillota; Bacilli; Caryophanales; Staphylococcaceae.
CACUGCCGAGAAAAGCCUCUAGAUAGAAAAUAGGUGCCCGUACCGCAAACCGACACAGGUAGUCAAGAUGAGAAUUCUAAGGUGAGCGAGCGAACUCUCGUUAAGGAACUCGGCAAAAUGACCCCGUAACUUCGGGAGAAGGGGUGCUCUUUAGGGUUAACGCCCAGAAGAGCCGCAGUGAAUAGGCCCAAGCGACUGUUUAUCAAAAACACAGGUCUCUGCUAAACCGUAAGGUGAUGUAUAGGGGCUGACGCCUGCCCGGUGCUGGAAGGUUAAGAGGAGUGGUUAGCUUCUGCGAAGCUACGAAUCGAAGCCCCAGUAAACGGCGGCCGUAACUAUAACGGUCCUAAGGUAGCGAAAUUCCUUGUCGGGUAAGUUCCGACCCGCACGAAAGGCGUAACGAUUUGGGCACUGUCUCAACGAGAGACUCGGUGAAAUCAUAGUACCUGUGAAGAUGCAGGUUACCCGCGACAGGACGGAAAGACCCCGUGGAGCUUUACUG